GCUUUGUGUAAGCUACAGGAACAUUGGU
This 28-nucleotide transfer RNA is filed under the name Zosterops senegalensis (African yellow white-eye). RNAcentral describes it as "partial tRNA-Pro". RNAcentral also lists the same sequence under 1 other name. Lineage: Eukaryota; Metazoa; Chordata; Aves; Passeriformes; Zosteropidae. The record is from RNAcentral.